AGGAGGAACAACCGCAGUGGCGGGGCCAGCUUUGGAGCCCUGGAGUCAGCCCCCGCAGUAGCUAGCUCCAGAGCUCUCCGUCUGCAGGGCCUGGAGGCUCCGGGCGGGG
Molecule: microRNA precursor, 109 nt
Filed under: Canis lupus familiaris (dog)
Lineage: Eukaryota; Metazoa; Chordata; Mammalia; Carnivora; Canidae
Description: mir-8834 microRNA precursor family
Rfam family: mir-8834 microRNA precursor family
Source: Rfam by way of RNAcentral